RNAcentral lists this ribosomal RNA (492 nucleotides) under uncultured bacterium. Its description in RNAcentral is "partial 16S ribosomal RNA". It matches the Rfam family "Bacterial small subunit ribosomal RNA", at positions 29 to 507 of the family's 1533-position model. The record is from RNAcentral.
AGUGAACGCUGGCGGUAGGCCUAACACAUGCAAGUCGAACGGCAGCACAGUAAGAGCUUGCUCUUACGGGUGGCGAGUGGCGGACGGGUGAGGAAUACAUCGGAAUCUACUUUUUCGUGGGGGAUAACGUAGGGAAACUUACGCUAAUACCGCAUACGACCUACGGGUGAAAGCAUGGGAUCUUCGGACCUUUCGCGAUUGAAUGAGCCGAUGUCGGAUUAGCUAGUUGGCGGGGUAAAGGCCCACCAAGGCGACGAUCCGUAGCUGGUCUGAGAGGAUGAUCAGCCACACUGGAACUGAGACACGGUCCAGACUCCUACGGGAGGCAGCAGUGGGGAAUAUUGGACAAUGGGCGCAAGCCUGAUCCAGCCAUACCGCGUGGGUGAAGAAGGCCUUCGGGUUGUAAAGCCCUUUUGUUGGGAAAGAAAAGCAGCAGGUUAAUACCCCGAUGUUCUGACGGUACCCAAAGAAUAAGCACCGGCUAACUUCGUG